RNAcentral lists this ribosomal RNA (497 nucleotides) under uncultured bacterium. RNAcentral describes it as "partial 16S ribosomal RNA". It matches the Rfam family "Bacterial small subunit ribosomal RNA", at positions 28 to 507 of the family's 1533-position model. The record is from RNAcentral.
GAUGAACGCUGGCGGCGUGCCUAAUACAUGCAAGUCGAGCGAACGGACGAGAAGCUUGCUUUUCUGAUGUUAGCGGCGGACGGGUGAGUAACACGUGGAUAACCUACCUAUAAGACUGGGAUAACUUCGGGAAACCGGAGCUAAUACCGGAUAAUAUUUUGAACCUCAUGGUUCAAAAGUGAAAGACGGUCUUGCUGUCACUUAUAGAUGGAUCCGCGCUGCAUUAGCUAGUUGGUAAGGUAACGGCUUACCAAGGCAACGAUGCAUAGCCGACCUGAGAGGGUGAUCGGCCACACUGGAACUGAGACACGGUCCAGACUCCUACGGGAGGCAGCAGUAGGGAAUCUUCCGCAAUGGGCGAAAGCCUGACGGAGCAACGCCGCGUGAGUGAUGAAGGUCUUCGGAUCGUAAAACUCUGUUAUUAGGGAAGAACAUAUGUGUAAGUAACUGUGCACAUCUUGACGGUACCUAAUCAGAAAGCCACGGCUAACUACGUG